GUGCCAGCAGCCGCGGUAAAACCAGCACCUCAAGUGGUCAGGAUGAUUAUUGGGCCUAAAGCAUCCGUAGCCGGCUCUGUAAGUUUUCGGUUAAAUCUGUACGCUCAACGUACAGGCUGCCGGGAAUACUGCAGAGCUAGGGAGUGGGAGAGGUAGACGGUACUCGGGAGGAAGGGGUAAAAUCCUUUGAUCUCUCGAUGACCACCUGUGGCGAAGGCGGUCUACCAGAACACGUUCGACGGUGAGGGAUGAAAGCUGGGGGAGCAAACCGGAUUAGAUACCCGGGUAGUCCCAGCUGUAAACUAUGCAAACUCAGUGAUGCAUUGGCUUGUGGCCAAUGCAGUGUUGCAGGGAAGCCGUUAAGUUUGCCGCCUGGGAAGUACGUACGCAAGUAUGAAACUUAAAGGAAUUGGCGGGGGAGCACCACAAGGGGUGAAGCCUGCGGUUCAAUUGGAGUCAACGCCAGAAAUCUUACCCGGAGAGACAGCAGAAUGAAGGUCAAGCUGAAGACUUUACCAGACAAGCUGAGAGGUGGUGCAUGGCCGUCGCCAGCUCGUGCCGUGAGAUGUCCUGUUAAGUCAGGUAACGAGCGAGAUCCCUGCCUCUAGUUGCCACCAUUAUUCUCAGGAAUAGUGGGGCGAAUUAGCGGGACCGCCGCAGUUAAUGCGGAGGAAGGAAGGGGCCACGGCAGGUCAGUAUGCCCCGAAACUCUGGGGCCACACGCGGGCUGCAAUGGUAAUGACAAUGGGUUCCGAAUCCGAGAGGAGGAGGUAAUCCCCAAACAUUACCACAGUUAUGACUGAGGGCUGCAACUCGCCCUCACGAAUAUGGAAUCCCUAGUAACUGCGUGUCAUUAUCGCGCGGUGAAUACGUCCCUGCUCCUUGCACACACCGCCCGUC
Molecule: ribosomal RNA, 900 nt
Filed under: uncultured archaeon
Lineage: Archaea
Description: bacterial SSU rRNA
Rfam family: Archaeal small subunit ribosomal RNA
Source: RNAcentral